GAGCAGGGAAACACAGGGAGGGGACUGGGAGAAUAAAAUACUGGAGUUACAGAGAUGACAGAGGGGUCAGUUCUUGAAAACGGCAACUGAUAUGGUAUGCUUGGCUGAGGACCGUGUCAUUGGAGGAGAGGAGACCAAAAAACUCAAAGGCCAAGGCACCAAAAUAAGAAAAGAUGACACCCCACAGCACAAAAGCAGCCCAUCAAACAACCAAGACGCCGACAUGCUCAGCAGGACUACAGGAAAGCUGCCGUCUCGCCUGUCAGAUGUAACCUUUUCUUCUCUGUCCUGGGCUUUUCUGAAAAGGUUAUUCGCACCCGAGGGGAAUUCCAGAAACCUGUGUGAUCUUGGUAACACCGUUGUGCCUUCUAAACCUAAAGCCUCGCCACCACCACCUCCUGAGAGACCAAUAGAAGAGCCCC
Molecule: long non-coding RNA, 422 nt
Organism: Bos taurus (domestic cattle)
Lineage: Eukaryota; Metazoa; Chordata; Mammalia; Artiodactyla; Bovidae
Source: Ensembl